GUUUGAUUCUGGCUCAGGACGAACGCUGGCGGCGUGCCUAACACAUGCAAGUCGAGCGAAGUGCUUACAGCGGAAUCCUUCGGGGUGAAGCAGUAAGUAUCUUAGCGGCGGACGGGUGAGUAACGCGUGAGGAACCUGCCUUCCACAAGGGGAUAGCCUCGGGAAACUGGGAUUAAUACCCUAUGACACUUAAGUAUCGCAUGAUACUUAGGUUAAAGCGUAAAGCGGUGGAAGAUGGCCUCGCGUCCCAUUAGCUAGUUGGUGAGGUAACGGCUCACCAAGGCGACGAUGGGUAGCCGGCCUGAGAGGGUGGACGGCCACACUGGAACUGAGACACGGUCCAGACUCCUACGGGAGGCAGCAGUGGGGAAUAUUGCACAAUGGGCGAAAGCCUGAUGCAGCGACGCCGCGUGAGCGAAGAAGGCCUUCGGGUCGUAAAGCUCUGUCCUAUGGGACGAUAAUGACGGUACCAUAGGAGGAAGCCCCGGCUAACUACGUGCCAGCAGCCGCGGUAAUACGUAGGGGGCAAGCGUUGUCCGGAAUGACUGGGCGUAAAGGGUACGUAGGCGGUUAUGUAAGUCAGGUGUGAAAGGCUAGGGCUCAACCCUAGUAAGCACUUGAAACUGCGUGACUUGAGUCGAGGAGAGGAAAGUGGAAUUCCUGGUGUAGCGGUGAAAUGCGUAGAUAUCAGGAGGAAUACCAGUGGCGAAGGCGACUUUCUGGCCUUGGACUGACGCUGAGGUACGAAAGCGUGGGGAGCAAACAGGAUUAGAUACCCUGGUAGUCCACGCCGUAAACGAUGAGUGCUAGGUGUCGGGGAGUAAUCUUCGGUGCCGAAGUUAACACAUUAAGCACUCCGCCUGGGGAGUACG
This 872-nucleotide ribosomal RNA is filed under the name Tepidimicrobium ferriphilum. Its description in RNAcentral is "bacterial SSU rRNA". It matches the Rfam family "Bacterial small subunit ribosomal RNA", at positions 11 to 884 of the family's 1533-position model. The record is from RNAcentral. Lineage: Bacteria; Bacillati; Bacillota; Tissierellia; Tissierellales; Tepidimicrobiaceae.